RNAcentral lists this ribosomal RNA (254 nucleotides) under uncultured bacterium. RNAcentral describes it as "partial 16S ribosomal RNA". It matches the Rfam family "Bacterial small subunit ribosomal RNA", at positions 524 to 776 of the family's 1533-position model. The record is from RNAcentral.
CACGUAGGGGGCAAGCGUUGUCCGGAUUUAUUGGGCGUAAAGAGCUCGUAGGCGGCUCACUAAGUCGGGUGUGAAAUUUCGAGGCUCAACCUCGAAACGCCACCCGAUACUGGUGUGGCUAGAGUCCGGUAGGGGAGCGUGGAAUUCCGGGUGUAGCGGUGGAAUGCGUAGAGAUCCGGAAGAACACCGGUGGCGAAGGCGGUUAGCUGGGCAGUUGCUGACACUGAGGCGCGACAGCGUGGGGAGCAAACAGG